AUUGAACGCUGGCGGCAUGCCUUACACAUGCAAGUCGAACGGCAGCACGGACUUCGGUCUGGUGGCGAGUGGCGAACGGGUGAGUAAUGUAUCGGAACGUACCUUUCAGUGGGGGAUAACGUAGCGAAAGUUACGCUAAUACCGCAUAUUCUGUGAGCAGGAAAGCAGGGGAUCGCAAGACCUUGCGCUGAUUGAGCGGCCGAUAUCAGAUUAGCUAGUUGGUGAGGUAAAGGCUCACCAAGGCGACGAUCUGUAGCGGGUCUGAGAGGAUGAUCCGCCACACUGGAACUGAGACACGGUCCAGACUCCUACGGGAGGCAGCAGUGGGGAAUUUUGGACAAUGGGGGCAACCCUGAUCCAGCCAUGCCGCGUGAGUGAAGAAGGCCUCGGG
RNAcentral lists this ribosomal RNA (391 nucleotides) under uncultured bacterium. RNAcentral describes it as "bacterial SSU rRNA". It matches the Rfam family "Bacterial small subunit ribosomal RNA", at positions 30 to 421 of the family's 1533-position model. The record is from RNAcentral.